AGCAGCCGCGGUAAUUCCAGCUCCAAUAGCGUAUAUUAAAGUUGUUGCAGUUAAAAAGCUCGUAGUUGAAUUUCGGGAUCAAUUUAUUGGUCGUGCUAUUGUACGUACUGGUAUUAUUGAUCUCUACCUUCUGACGAACCAUGAUGUCAUUAAUUUGGUGUCUUGGGGAAUCAGGACUGUUACUUUGAAAAAUUAGAGUGUUUAAAGCAGGCUCACGCUUGAAUACAUUAGCAUGGAAUAACGAAAUAGGACGUUUGAUUCUAUUUUGUUGGUUUCUAGGAUCGACGUAAUGAUUAAUAGGGAUAGUUGGGGGCAUUAGUAUUCAAUUGUCGGAGGUGAAAUUCUUGGAUUUAUUGAAGACUAACUACUGCGAAAGCAUUUGCCAAGGAUGUUUUCAUUAAUCAAGAACGAAAGUUAGGGGAUCGAAGACGAUCAGAUACCGUCGUAGUCCUAACCAUAAACUAUGCCGACUAGGGAUCGGAUGAUGUUAAUUUUUAAUGACUCAUUCGGCGCCUUAACC
Molecule: unclassified non-coding RNA, 520 nt
Filed under: uncultured Glomus
Lineage: Eukaryota; Fungi; Glomeromycota; Glomeromycetes; Glomerales; Glomeraceae
Description: SSU rRNA
Rfam family: Eukaryotic small subunit ribosomal RNA
Source: RNAcentral